RNAcentral lists this ribosomal RNA (2922 nucleotides) under Klebsiella pneumoniae. RNAcentral describes it as "bacterial LSU rRNA". It matches the Rfam family "Bacterial large subunit ribosomal RNA". The record is from RNAcentral. Lineage: Bacteria; Pseudomonadati; Pseudomonadota; Gammaproteobacteria; Enterobacterales; Enterobacteriaceae.
GGGUUGUGAGGUUAAGCGACUAAGCGUACACGGUGGAUGCCCUGGCAGUCAGAGGCGAUGAAGGACGUGCUAAUCUGCGAAAAGCGUCGGUAAGGUGAUAUGAACCGUUACAGCCGGCGAUGUCCGAAUGGGGAAACCCAGUGUGAUUCGUCACACUAUCGUUAACUGAAUACAUAGGUUAACGAGGCGAACCGGGGGAACUGAAACAUCUAAGUACCCCGAGGAAAAGAAAUCAACCGAGAUUCCCCCAGUAGCGGCGAGCGAACGGGGAGCAGCCCAGAGUCUGAAUCAGCUUGUGUGUUAGUGGAACGGUCUGGAAAGUCCGACGGUACAGGGUGAUAGUCCCGUACACCAAAAUGCACAGGCUGUGAACUCGAAGAGUAGGGCGGGACACGUGGUAUCCUGUCUGAAUAUGGGGGGACCAUCCUCCAAGGCUAAAUACUCCUGACUGACCGAUAGUGAACCAGUACCGUGAGGGAAAGGCGAAAAGAACCCCGGCGAGGGGAGUGAAAAAGAACCUGAAACCGUGUACGUACAAGCAGUGGGAGCACCUUCGGGUGUGACUGCGUACCUUUUGUAUAAUGGGUCAGCGACUUAUAUUCUGUAGCAAGGUUAACCGUAUAGGGGAGCCGCAGGGAAACCGAGUCUUAACUGGGCGUUAAGUUGCAGGGUAUAGACCCGAAACCCGGUGAUCUAGCCAUGGGCAGGUUGAAGGUUGGGUAACACUAACUGGAGGACCGAACCGACUAAUGUUGAAAAAUUAGCGGAUGACUUGUGGCUGGGGGUGAAAGGCCAAUCAAACCGGGAGAUAGCUGGUUCUCCCCGAAAGCUAUUUAGGUAGCGCCUCGUGAACUCAUCUUCGGGGGUAGAGCACUGUUUCGGCUAGGGGGUCAUCCCGACUUACCAACCCGAUGCAAACUACGAAUACCGAAGAAUGUUAUCACGGGAGACACACGGCGGGUGCUAACGUCCGUCGUGAAGAGGGAAACAACCCAGACCGCCAGCUAAGGUCCCAAAGUCAUGGUUAAGUGGGAAACGAUGUGGGAAGGCACAGACAGCCAGGAUGUUGGCUUAGAAGCAGCCAUCAUUUAAAGAAAGCGUAAUAGCUCACUGGUCGAGUCGGCCUGCGCGGAAGAUGUAACGGGGCUAAACCAUGCACCGAAGCUGCGGCAGCGACACUAUGUGUUGUUGGGUAGGGGAGCGUUCUGUAAGCCUGCGAAGGUGACCUGUGAGGGUUGCUGGAGGUAUCAGAAGUGCGAAUGCUGACAUAAGUAACGAUAAAGCGGGUGAAAAGCCCGCUCGCCGGAAGACCAAGGGUUCCUGUCCAACGUUAAUCGGGGCAGGGUGAGUCGACCCCUAAGGCGAGGCCGAAAGGCGUAGUCGAUGGGAAACAGGUUAAUAUUCCUGUACUUGGUGUUACUGCGAAGGGGGGACGGAGAAGGCUAUGUUAGCCGGGCGACGGUUGUCCCGGUUUAAGCAUGUAGGCUGGUUAUCCAGGCAAAUCCGGAUAAUCAAGGCUGAGGUGUGAUGACGAGGCACUACGGUGCUGAAGUAACAAAUGCCCUGCUUCCAGGAAAAGCCUCUAAGCAUCAGGUAACAUCAAAUCGUACCCCAAACCGACACAGGUGGUCAGGUAGAGAAUACCAAGGCGCUUGAGAGAACUCGGGUGAAGGAACUAGGCAAAAUGGUGCCGUAACUUCGGGAGAAGGCACGCUGGUGUGUAGGUGAAGUCCCUGCGGAUGGAGCUGAGACCAGUCGAAGAUACCAGCUGGCUGCAACUGUUUAUUAAAACACAGCACUGUGCAAACACGAAAGUGGACGUAUACGGUGUGACGCCUGCCCGGUGCCGGAAGGUUAAUUGAUGGGGUUAUCCGUAAGGAGAAGCUCUUGAUCGAAGCCCCGGUAAACGGCGGCCGUAACUAUAACGGUCCUAAGGUAGCGAAAUUCCUUGUCGGGUAAGUUCCGACCUGCACGAAUGGCGUAAUGAUGGCCAGGCUGUCUCCACCCGAGACUCAGUGAAAUUGAACUCGCUGUGAAGAUGCAGUGUACCCGCGGCAAGACGGAAAGACCCCGUGAACCUUUACUAUAGCUUGACACUGAACAUUGAGCCUUGAUGUGUAGGAUAGGUGGGAGGCUUUGAAGCGUGGACGCCAGUCUGCGUGGAGCCAACCUUGAAAUACCACCCUUUAAUGUUUGAUGUUCUAACGUUGGCCCCUUACCGGGGUUGCGGACAGUGUCUGGUGGGUAGUUUGACUGGGGCGGUCUCCUCCCAAAGCGUAACGGAGGAGCACGAAGGUUAGCUAAUCCUGGUCGGACAUCAGGAGGUUAGUGCAAUGGCAUAAGCUAGCUUGACUGCGAGCGUGACGGCGCGAGCAGGUGCGAAAGCAGGUCAUAGUGAUCCGGUGGUUCUGAAUGGAAGGGCCAUCGCUCAACGGAUAAAAGGUACUCCGGGGAUAACAGGCUGAUACCGCCCAAGAGUUCAUAUCGACGGCGGUGUUUGGCACCUCGAUGUCGGCUCAUCACAUCCUGGGGCUGAAGUAGGUCCCAAGGGUAUGGCUGUUCGCCAUUUAAAGUGGUACGCGAGCUGGGUUUAGAACGUCGUGAGACAGUUCGGUCCCUAUCUGCCGUGGGCGCUGGAGAAUUGAGGGGGGCUGCUCCUAGUACGAGAGGACCGGAGUGGACGCAUCACUGGUGUUCGGGUUGUCAUGCCAAUGGCACUGCCCGGUAGCUAAAUGCGGAAGAGAUAAGUGCUGAAAGCAUCUAAGCACGAAACUUGCCCCGAGAUGAGUUCUCCCUGAGACUUUAAGUCUCCUGAAGGAACGUUAAAGACGAUGACGUUGAUAGGCCGGGUGUGUAAGCGCAGCGAUGCGUUGAGCUAACCGGUACUAAUGAACCGUGAGGCUUAACCUUACAACGCCGAAG